Molecule: ribosomal RNA, 245 nt
Filed under: uncultured bacterium
Lineage: Bacteria
Description: partial 16S ribosomal RNA
Rfam family: Bacterial small subunit ribosomal RNA
Source: RNAcentral
UGGCGCCGGCGCACGGGUGAGUAACGCGUAUGCAACUUACCUAUCAGAGGGGGAUAGCCCGGCGAAAGUCGGAUUAAUACCCCAUGAAACAGGGGUCCCGCAUGGGAAUAUUUGUUAAAGAUUCAUCGCUGAUAGAUAGGCAUGCGUUCCAUUAGGCAGUUGGCGGGGUAACGGCCCACCAAACCGACGAUGGAUGGGGGUUCUGAGAGGAAGGUCCCCCACAUUGGUACUGAGACACGGACCAA